Molecule: long non-coding RNA, 1086 nt
Organism: Pseudopipra pipra
Lineage: Eukaryota; Metazoa; Chordata; Aves; Passeriformes; Pipridae
Exons: 3
Source: RefSeq, a predicted model, not a curated record
GAGGAAGAGUGUGGCAGCAGGAGCAGGGAAGUGAUUGUUGGGCUGGAGUGAGCGCUGGUGAGGCCACCCCUGGAGUGCUGUGUCCAGCUCUGGGCCCCUGAGUUGAGGAAGGCCCUGGAGGGGCUGGAGCAGGAGCAGAGAAGAGCAGCGAGGCUGGGGAAGGGAGUGGAGCACAAGUGGUGUGAGGAGAGGCUGAGGGAGCUGGGGGUGUUGAGGCUGGAGAAGAGGAGGCUCAGGGGAGACCUCCUGACUCUCUGCAAGUCCCUGCCAGGAGGUUGGAGCCAGGUGGGGGUGGGGCUGUUGUGCCAGGAAGCAGCAGUAGGACAAGAGGGCUGGGUCUGGAGCUGUGCCAGGGGAGGUUUAGGUUGGAUAUUGGGAAGGAAUUUUUUACUGAGAGAGUAAUCAGGCCUUGGAAUGGGCUGGGCAGGGAGGGGGUGGAGUCCCUGUCCCUGGAGGUGUUGAAGGUGAGAGUGGAUGUGGCCUCAGUGCCAUGGUCUGGGAAGCACAGCAGGGUUGGAUCCAGGGCUGGACUUGAUGAUCUCGGAGGUCUUUUCCAACCCAGCUGAUUCUGUGAUUCUCUGAUUGCCAUUCCUGUGGCAGCACAUGCUUGAGGCUCCAUCCCCAGGGUGAGAGAGAUGUCUGUCCAUAUCUAUCUGCAAGGUUAGUCUGUAAAUGUGUGGUGUUAGCAAAGCAGGCUGAGUUGUGGGCUGGUUGUAGAAGGAGAAAGAAGCCCCCAGCCCAGUGCAAGCAGGCAGCCCUCAGCUUGCACAUGAUGUCCCCUCCCUGCAGGUUCCUGUCCUUGAGCCCAGGCCCUGAGGUGAGGCUGAGAAUAAGUGCAAGGCAGAGGUGCUGCUGAGGAAGGAGAGCCCCGUGGUGGGGAAGGCACAAAGCUGUGUGUGCCCAUCCCCGAGCAGGUGCUGUGUCCAUCCCCUGUGUGCCAGGAUUUGUCCUUCCCAAAGCUUGGGCAGAUGAAGGAGGCUGCGAGGAAGAGGAAGAUGCCUUGGGCCCCCCAGGCAGGCCCCGAGCUGAGGACGGAGAGCCCGGAGGACAAAUCCCCCCGGCAGAGCCUGGUGGGAGAGGCCGUUU